RNAcentral lists this ribosomal RNA (139 nucleotides) under uncultured eukaryote. Its description in RNAcentral is "partial 18S ribosomal RNA". It matches the Rfam family "Eukaryotic small subunit ribosomal RNA", at positions 1299 to 1458 of the family's 1831-position model. The record is from RNAcentral.
UGGUGGAGUGAUUUGUCUGGUUAAUUCCGAUAACGAACGAGACCUUAACCUGCUAAAUAGCCAGGCUGUUCUCCGAACGGUCGUCGGCUUCUUAGAGGGACUAUUGGCGUUUAGCCGAUGGAAGUUUGAGGCAAUAACA